AGUGAACGCUGGCGGUAGGCCUAACACAUGCAAGUCGAACGGCAGCACAGUAAGAGCUUGCUCUUACGGGUGGCGAGUGGCGGACGGGUGAGGAAUACAUCGGAAUCUACUUUUUCGUGGGGGAUAACGUAGGGAAACUUACGCAAAUACCGCAUACGACCUACGGGUGAAAGCAGGGGAUCCUCGGACCUUGCGCGAUUGAAUGAGCCGAUGUCGGAUUAGCUAGUUGGCGGGGUAAAGGCCCACCAAGGCGACGAUCCGUAGCUGGUCUGAGAGGAUGAUCAGCCACACUGGAACUGAGACACGGUCCAGACUCCUACGGGAGGCAGCAGUGGGGAAUAUUGGACAAUGGGCGCAAGCCUGGUCCAGCCAUACCGCGUGGGUGAAGAAGGCCUUCGGGUUGUAAAGCCCUUUUGUUGGGAAAGAAAAGCAGCAGGUUAAUACCCCGCUGUUCUGACGGUACCCAAAGAAUAAGCACCGGCUAACUUCGUG
Molecule: ribosomal RNA, 492 nt
Filed under: uncultured bacterium
Lineage: Bacteria
Description: partial 16S ribosomal RNA
Rfam family: Bacterial small subunit ribosomal RNA
Source: RNAcentral